Molecule: ribosomal RNA, 238 nt
Filed under: uncultured bacterium
Lineage: Bacteria
Description: partial 16S ribosomal RNA
Rfam family: Bacterial small subunit ribosomal RNA
Source: RNAcentral
UGGCGGACGGGUGAGUAACGCGUGGGUAACCUGCCUCAUACAGGGGGAUAACAGUUAGAAAUGACUGCUAAUACCGCAUAAGACCACAGCACCGCAUGGUGCAGGGGUAAAAACUCCGGUGGUAUGAGAUGGACCCGCGUCUGAUUAGGUAGUUGGUGGGGUAACGGCUUACCAAGCCGACGGUCAGUAGCCGACCUGAGAGGGUGACCGGCCACAUUGGGACUGAGACACGGCCCAA